CGGAUGUAGCCAAGUGGAUCAAGGCAGUGGAUUUGUGAAUCCC
This 43-nucleotide transfer RNA is filed under the name Berchemia racemosa. Its description in RNAcentral is "partial tRNA-His". Lineage: Eukaryota; Viridiplantae; Streptophyta; Magnoliopsida; Rosales; Rhamnaceae. The record is from RNAcentral. RNAcentral also lists the same sequence under 1 other name.